CUAAAUCCCUUUUAUUGCUCUCAGGCUUAAAGGGACACUAUAGUCACCCAGAUCAUUUCAGCAAACUGAGGUAGUAUGGGUGCAGUGUCCAUGUUCUCUUAGCCCUGCAAUGUUUUGGAGAAACUGGAAUAAUUACAUUGCAGGAUUAAGACACCCUGUAGUGGUUAUCAAUCAGACUGCCACUAGAGGCACUUCCUGUUAGCUAACCGACAUGAGGACAUCCAGCGUUAGUUAAAUACCCAUUGAAAUGGGAAUGGC
Molecule: non-coding RNA, 258 nt
Organism: Pelobates cultripes (western spadefoot toad)
Lineage: Eukaryota; Metazoa; Chordata; Amphibia; Anura; Pelobatidae
Source: the annotation of a GenBank genome assembly